This 105-nucleotide small RNA is filed under the name Marmota monax (woodchuck). Lineage: Eukaryota; Metazoa; Chordata; Mammalia; Rodentia; Sciuridae. The record is from RNAcentral.
GCUGGGUGUGGUGGCCACACCUGUGAUCCCAGCUGCUUGAGAGGCUGAGGCAGGAGGAUUGCAAAUUUGAGGCAGCCUGUGCAACUUAGCAAAACCAUGUUUCAA